GUGUUUUACUGUGUUGAAACACUAAUAUUUGUGUUCAGCAAAGGCUCCCGAGUAUAACAGUACUUGGCAGACUUUUUAAAAAAAAAUUUCUCAUUUGAACAGAUGCAGGAAGACUGCAUGUUAGUUUAGGCAGUCCCCUGCAGGCAGCACUAUGGACGCCUAUUGUGGCCACGUGACCGCCUCUUUCAGAGCGUUCACAUGGCCUGCAAGGGCCUAAUUUGCUGUCAUGCCUUCCCCCC
Non-coding RNA from Pelobates cultripes (western spadefoot toad), 239 nucleotides. The record is from the annotation of a GenBank genome assembly. Lineage: Eukaryota; Metazoa; Chordata; Amphibia; Anura; Pelobatidae.